UACGAAGGGGGCUAGCGUUGCUCGGAAUCACUGGGCGUAAAGGGUGCGUAGGCGGGUCUUUAAGUCAGGGGUGAAAUCCUGUAGCUCAACUCCAGAACUGCCUUUGAUACUGAAGAUCUUGAGUUCGGGAGAGGUGAGUGGAACUGCGAGUGUAGAGGUGAAAUUCGUAGAUAUUCGCAAGAACACCAGUGGCGAAGGCGGCUCACUGGCCCGAUACUGACGCUGAGGCACGAAAGCGUGGGGAGCAAACAGG
This 253-nucleotide ribosomal RNA is filed under the name uncultured bacterium. RNAcentral's name for it is "partial 16S ribosomal RNA". It matches the Rfam family "Bacterial small subunit ribosomal RNA", at positions 524 to 776 of the family's 1533-position model. The record is from RNAcentral.